This 253-nucleotide ribosomal RNA is filed under the name uncultured bacterium. RNAcentral's name for it is "partial 16S ribosomal RNA". It matches the Rfam family "Bacterial small subunit ribosomal RNA", at positions 524 to 776 of the family's 1533-position model. The record is from RNAcentral.
UACAGAGGUCUCAAGCGUUGUUCGGAUUCAUUGGGCGUAAAGGGUGUGUAGGUGGCGCCGUAAGUCGGGUGUGAAAUUUCGGAGCUUAACUCCGAAACUGCAUUCGAUACUGCGGUGCUUGAGGACUGGAGAGGAGACUGGAAUUCAUGGUGUAGCAGUGAAAUGCGUAGAGAUCAUGAGGAAGACCAGUGGCGAAGGCGGGUCUCUGGACCGUAACUGACGCUGAGACACGAAAGCGUGGGUAGCAAACAGG